UCGCUUUGGCAGCAAGUAUACUAAAAUUGGAAUGAUGCAGAGAAGAUUAGGUUGGCCCCUGUACAAGGAUGAAACGCAAAUUCGAGAAGCCUUCUAUAUUUUU
This is a small nuclear RNA of Suncus etruscus (white-toothed pygmy shrew), 103 nucleotides long. The record is from RefSeq and is a predicted model, not a curated record. NCBI's taxonomy places the organism in Eukaryota, Metazoa, Chordata, Mammalia, Eulipotyphla, Soricidae.